This 270-nucleotide ribosomal RNA is filed under the name uncultured archaeon. Its description in RNAcentral is "partial 16S ribosomal RNA". It matches the Rfam family "Archaeal small subunit ribosomal RNA", at positions 477 to 747 of the family's 1478-position model. The record is from RNAcentral.
CAGCACCUCAAGUGGUCAGGAUGAUUAUUAGGCCUAAAGCAUCCGUAGCCGGCUCUGUAAGUUUUCGGUUAAAUCUGUACGCUCAACGUACAGGCUGCCGGGAAUACUGCAGAGCUAGGGAGUGGGAGAGGUAGACGGUACUCGGUAGGAAGGGGUAAAAUCCUUUGAUCUAUUGAUGACCACCUGUGGCGAAGGCGGUCUACCAGAACACGUCCGACGGUGAGGGAUGAAAGCUGGGGGAGCAAACCGGAUUAGAGACCCGAGUAGUCC